This 85-nucleotide transfer RNA is filed under the name Thiocapsa imhoffii. Its description in RNAcentral is "tRNA-Leu". It matches the Rfam family "tRNA". From Rfam's summary of the family: Transfer RNA (tRNA) molecules are approximately 80 nucleotides in length. Their secondary structure includes four short double-helical elements and three loops (D, anti-codon, and T loops). Further hydrogen bonds mediate the characteristic L-shaped molecular structure. tRNAs have two regions of fundamental functional importance: the anti-codon, which is responsible for specific mRNA codon recognition, and the 3' end, to which the tRNAs corresponding amino acid is attached (by aminoacyl-tRNA synthetases). tRNAs cope with the degeneracy of the genetic code in two manners: having more than one tRNA (with a specific anti-codon) for a particular amino acid; and 'wobble' base-pairing, i.e. permitting non-standard base-pairing at the 3rd anti-codon position. Lineage: Bacteria; Pseudomonadati; Pseudomonadota; Gammaproteobacteria; Chromatiales; Chromatiaceae. The record is from RNAcentral.
GCCUGGGUGGCGAAAUUGGUAGACGCAAGGGACUUAAAAUCCCUCGGCUUCGGCCAUGCGGGUUCGAGUCCCGCCCCAGGCACCA